GCUCCAUGAGAAUAUAUCAAAUUUGUUGCAGUUGAAAAGCUCGUAGUUGAAUUUCUGGCCGUUUGUCGUUGUUUGUUUGGAGCAAUCCAGGCAGAUUGGGCGAUGGCGGUCAUCUUGUUUCUUUUUUUACGAAGGAACUCAGUCACUGAGAGUAAAUUGGAAUGCUUAAAGUAGGUCUGACGACUUUGAACAUUCAAGCU
RNAcentral lists this ribosomal RNA (200 nucleotides) under uncultured eukaryote. RNAcentral describes it as "partial 18S ribosomal RNA". It matches the Rfam family "Eukaryotic small subunit ribosomal RNA", at positions 588 to 809 of the family's 1831-position model. The record is from RNAcentral.